This 1722-nucleotide long non-coding RNA is filed under the name Homo sapiens (human). Its description in RNAcentral is "HSALNT0138118". The record is from RNAcentral. Lineage: Eukaryota; Metazoa; Chordata; Mammalia; Primates; Hominidae.
ACUCAUCAACUACAAUAAAUAAUAGUAUGCCAUAAAAAGACGCAAAGGAAACAAAAGAAUUUAAAGCGGAAACUCUAACAGAUACUUGUACACCAGUGUUCAUAGCAGCUUUAUUCACAAUAGCCAAAAGUUGGAAACAAUUCAAAUAUCCAUUGAUAGAUGAAUGGAUCAACAAAAUGUGGUGUAUACAUAACAAUAAAUUUAAUUCAGCCAGAAGGAAAUUCUGACACGUUACAACAUAGAUGAACCUUGUGGACAUUAUGCCAAGUUAAUUAAGCUAGGCCCAAAAGGACAAAUAUUGUAUUAUUCCACUUACAUGAGAUCCCUAGAAUAGUCACAUUUAUAGAGACAUAAAGUAGAAGAAUCAUUACCAGGGGCUAUGAGGGAGGGGGAAUAUGGAGUUAUUGUUUCAUGAGUAAAGGAUUUCUGUUUCAGAUGAUGAAAACGUUCUGGAAAUGGAUGGUGGUGGUGGCUAUGCAAUGAGAACAUACGUAAUGCCACUAAACUGUACAUUUUAAAAACAAUUAAAAUAGUAAAUUUUAUGUUAUGGAUUUCAGUACAAUUUUUUUAAGCCAUGAAGAAGCUUGGGAGGCACUGAGAACAUCUGCCUGGGAUAAUCAAGGAGGGGUUUUCUAGAGAUGGUCCUAUUUGUGCUUGCUCUUCCUGUUAAUCCCUGCAAAUCAAAGUUCAUACUGUGGAUAAUAAGAAGCAAGCAUUCAUUUUCAUGUGGUUCACCAGCUUUAUAUGAUUCCUUAUACAAGAAACUAGUAAGACAGGUUGCUCUGGGAAGAGGCACUAGAAGCCUAGAGGUUUAGGGAUUUGAUGGCCUGGGGUAGAAAAAGACUUACUUUUCACUGUGCAUUUAUUCCUUUUUGUUUAAAAUACAAAUAUUUGCAUUUCCCUGAUCAUUAGUGAUGUUGAGCAUUUUUUCAUAUGUUUGUUGGCCAUUUGUAUGCCCUCCUUUGAGAAUUGUCUAUUCAUGUCCUUAAGCCCACUUUUUGAUGGGAUUGUUUGUUUUUUCUUGCUAAUUUGUUUGAGUUUGUUGUAGAUUCUGGAUAUUAGUCCUUUGUCAGAUAUACAGAUUGUGAAGACUUUCUCCCACUCUGUGGGUUGUCUGUCUACUCUGCAGACUGUUCCUUUUGCAGUGCAAAAGCUCUUUAGUUUAAUUAAGUCCCAGCUAUUUGUUUUUGUUUUUAUUAAAUUUGCUUUUGGGUUCUUGAUCAUGAAAUCCUUGCCUAAGCCGAUGUCUAGAAGGGCUUUUCCAAUGUUGUCUUCUAGAAUUUUUAUAGUUUCAGGUCUUAGAUUUAAGUCAUCGAUCCAUCUUGAGUUGAUUUUUAUAUAAGGUGAGAGAUAAGGAUCCAGUUUCAUUCUCCUACAUGUGGCUUGUCAAUUAUCCCAGCACCAUUUGUUGAAUAGGGUGUCGUUUCCCCACUUUAUGUUUUUGUUUGCUUUGUUGAAGAUCAGCUGGCUGUAAGAAUGGCCAAAAUAAAAAAAAAAUCGAUGUUGGCAUGGAUGUGGUGAACAGGGAACACUUUUACACUGCUGCUGGAAUGUAAACUAGUACAACCAUUAUGGAAAACAGUGUGGAGAUUCCUUAAAGAACUAAAAGUAAAACUACCAUUUGAUCCAGCAGUCCCACUACUGGGUAUCUACCCAGAGGAAAUGAAGUCAUUAUAUGAAAAAGAUAUUUGCACACACAUGUUUGUAGCAGCACAAUUUGCA